GGAUAAAUUCAUGAAGGAUGUGGUGAAAUAUUCCACCAGAGCAUCCGCCAUUUGAGCCCCUUUGGUGGACAGGCCUGGAACAACAAACUUCAGCAUCCUUCCGAAGCAGAACAUGAACUGACGAGGCAUACAUCAACAAAAUCUCUGUCAAUAACUUCAAAAUAAACACAACUUUCGCCAGUGUUGCAGAAGCUUCCUGGCUAUUUG
This 207-nucleotide unclassified non-coding RNA is filed under the name Hevea brasiliensis (rubber tree). The record is from RNAcentral. Lineage: Eukaryota; Viridiplantae; Streptophyta; Magnoliopsida; Malpighiales; Euphorbiaceae.